This 708-nucleotide long non-coding RNA is filed under the name Brassica rapa (field mustard). Its description in RNAcentral is "long non-coding RNA (BRAP_LNC006501)". The record is from RNAcentral. Lineage: Eukaryota; Viridiplantae; Streptophyta; Magnoliopsida; Brassicales; Brassicaceae.
GAAAUAACCAAUCAUAUAACACCCAAUCUUGACGAAAAGAAACUCUUCGGUUACUGAGUUACAUGAUGUCGUUUGGAAGAGACUCUUCGAUUCCUGAGAUAUAUGUUUGAACAAAAAAAAAAAAAAAUCACCCAUUACUCGUAGGAGAGUCGAACCCGGGUCGAUCAAAUGUUUCGGUAUCAUAGGUUUCGUGGUUUAGCCGCUAGGCUGAGGAGAAUCAUCUGUUAGUUGCUUCCACAUAAUUGAAUUUACCCAUACAAUUUAUAGUAUAAUACAUUGGAAAGAUCUUUGAUAGUUCGGAUGGGCUUCCGAUUGCGACAAAUGUGAUUCCUGAGAUAUAUGUUUGAACAAAAAAAAAAAAAUCACCCAUUACUCGUAGGAGAGUCGAACCCGGGUCGAUCAAAUGUUUCGGUAUCAUAGGUUUCGUGGUUUAGCCGCUAGGCUGAGGAGAAUCAUCUGUUAGUUGCUUCCACAUAAUUGAAUUUACCCAUACAAUUUAUAGUAUAAUACAUUGGAAAGAUCUUUGAUAGUUCAGGAUGGGCUUCCGAUUGCGACAAAUGUGAUUCCUGAGAUAUAUGUUUGAACAAAAAAAAAAAAAAAAUCACCCAUUACUCGUAGGAGAGUCGAACCCGGGUCGAUCAAUGUUUCGGUAUCAUAGGUUUCGUGGUUUAGCCGCUAGGCUGAGGAGAAUCAUCUGUUAGUUGCUUC